Non-coding RNA from Mycena vulgaris, 95 nucleotides. The record is from the annotation of a GenBank genome assembly. NCBI's taxonomy places the organism in Eukaryota, Fungi, Basidiomycota, Agaricomycetes, Agaricales, Mycenaceae.
GGCUCCAUGGCACAGUGGUGGUGCACCCAGGCUAGAUAAGAUAUAUUUCAUUCUCCUUUAUCUGGUUGGCUGUUGUUCAAUUCAACGUGGAGGCA